GGCUUCGUAGCUCAAUUGGAUAGAGCAUCUGACUACGGAUCAGAAGGUUGCAGGUUCGAAUCCUGCCGAGGUCA
RNAcentral lists this transfer RNA (74 nucleotides) under Bacteroidota bacterium. Its description in RNAcentral is "Bacteroidetes bacterium tRNA-Arg". It matches the Rfam family "tRNA". Rfam says of the family: Transfer RNA (tRNA) molecules are approximately 80 nucleotides in length. Their secondary structure includes four short double-helical elements and three loops (D, anti-codon, and T loops). RNAcentral also lists the same sequence under 1 other name. The record is from RNAcentral. Lineage: Bacteria; Pseudomonadati; Bacteroidota.